RNAcentral lists this ribosomal RNA (441 nucleotides) under uncultured bacterium. Its description in RNAcentral is "partial 16S ribosomal RNA". It matches the Rfam family "Bacterial small subunit ribosomal RNA", at positions 339 to 795 of the family's 1533-position model. The record is from RNAcentral.
CUACGGGAGGCACCAGUGGGGAAUAUUGCACAAUGGGCGAAAGCCUGAUGCAGCAACGCCGCGUGAGUGAUGAAGGUCUUCGGAUUGUAAAGCUCUGUUCUUGGGGAAGAAUAAAUGACGGUACCCAAGGAGAAAGCCCCGGCUAACUACGUGCCAGCAGCCGCGGUAAUACGGUAGGGGGCAAGCGUUAUCCGGAAUCACUGGGCGUAAAGGGUGCGUAGGCGGCUUAGCAAGUCAGAAGUGAAAGGCAUUGGCUCAACCAAUGUAAGCUUUUGAAACUGUUAGGCUUGAGUGCAGGAGAGGAAAGUGGAAUUCCUAGUGUAGCGGUGAGAUGCGUAGAUAUUAGGAGGAACACCAGUGGCGAAGGCGACUUUCUGGACUGUAACUGACGCUGAGGCACGAAAGCGUGGGGAGCGAACAGGAUUAGAUACCCCGGUAGUC